RNAcentral lists this ribosomal RNA (229 nucleotides) under uncultured Glomeromycotina. RNAcentral's name for it is "partial small subunit ribosomal RNA". It matches the Rfam family "Eukaryotic small subunit ribosomal RNA", at positions 569 to 793 of the family's 1831-position model. The record is from RNAcentral. Lineage: Eukaryota; Fungi; Glomeromycota.
AGCAGCCGCGGUAAUUCCAGCUCCAAUAGCGUAUAUUAAAGUUGUUGCAGUUAAAAGCUGUAGUUGAAUUUUCGGAUCAGUACGCCGGUCGUGCCUUUCGGGUAUGCACUGGUGUCACGGUUUUCUCCCUUUCUGAAGAACCAUCAUGCCAUUCAUUGUGGUGCGGAUCAGGGAUUAAUCAAAUGUACGUUGUAAAAGCAUGCUCAGUGUUCGAAGCUGGAUCGAGUUG